ACUCCUACGGGAGGCAGCAGUGGGGAAUAUUGGACAAUGGGGGAAACCCUGAUCCAGCAAUGCCGCGUGUGUGAAGAAGGCCUUCGGGUUGUAAAGCACUUUUAUCGGGGAAGAAUAGGUUGGCGUUAAUAGCGCCAACACUUGACAUUACCCGUUGAAUAAGCACCGGCUAACUCCGUGCCAGCAGCCGCGGUAAUACGGAGGGUGCGAGCGUUAAUCGGAAUUACUGGGCGUAAAGGGUGCGUAGGCGGAAGCUUAAGUCUGAUGUGAAAGCCCCGGGCUUAACCUGGGAAUGGCAUUGGAAACUGGGUUUCUAGAGUGUGGUAGAGGAUAGUGGAAUUUCCAGUGUAGCGGUGAAAUGCGUAAAUAUUGGAAGGAAUACCAGUGGCGAAGGCGGCCACCUGGUCAAAGACCGACGCUGAGGUACAAAAGCGUGGGGAGCAAACAGGAUUAAAUACCCUGGUAGUCCACGCCGUAAACGAUGUCAACUAGUUGUUCGUGUCAUUAAAACGUGAGUAACGCACCUAACGCACUAAGUUGACCGCCUGGGGAGUACGGCCGCAAGGUUAAAACUGAAAGGAAUUGACGG
This 589-nucleotide ribosomal RNA is filed under the name uncultured bacterium. Its description in RNAcentral is "bacterial SSU rRNA". It matches the Rfam family "Bacterial small subunit ribosomal RNA", at positions 335 to 916 of the family's 1533-position model. The record is from RNAcentral.